Molecule: ribosomal RNA, 301 nt
Filed under: uncultured bacterium
Lineage: Bacteria
Description: partial 16S ribosomal RNA
Rfam family: Bacterial small subunit ribosomal RNA
Source: RNAcentral
CAGUCGCCGCGGGAAUACGUAGGGUGCAAGCGUUAAUCGGAAUUACUGGGCGUAAAGCGUGCGCAGGCGGUUUGUUAAGACAGAUGUGAAAUCUCCGGGCUCAACCUGGGAACUGCAUUUGUGACUGGCAAGCUAGAGUGUGGCAGAGGGGGGUGGAAUUCCGCGUGUAGCAGUGAAAUGCGUAGAUAUGCGGAGGAACACCGAUGGCGAAGGCAGCCCCCUGGGCCAACACUGACGCUCAUGCACGAAAGCGUGGGGAGCAAACAGGAUUAGAUACCCCCGUAGUCCCUGUCUCUUAUAC